CAUCUGACACCUUCUCUUUUCUACUAAAGCAGCUAUGAUACUGCCUUUAUCAUAUACUAAAUUUCAGUAUGCAGCUGGUUAUAUAUUUGUAUUUUUAUUUAUAUCUUUUUAGAGAAGAAUAAAUGGAUGGUUCAUUCUGGGUCUCUGCAUAAUAACUCUAUGUUGCCUUUAAACGUCUUAGCCUGUUAUGAAAUUCUUGGUUCACAGCUUUUCCCCACUUAGUCUCUACAGAUGUUAAGACUCUGGUGUUAGCAUUGCAGAGAAGUCUGGGGCUGGGCUGAUUUUUGGUACUUUGUACCAAAAAUGUACAUAACCGUUUUUUAUGCCUGAAAUCUUCUAGGAUUUUUUUUUGUCUUUAUAUUUAUAGUUUAAAAUUGCUCUUAGAUUUUUUCUAGGUGUAGUUUUCUUUUCAUUGAUUGUUUUUUAUCUGUAUUGCCCUAAUCUUUUUUCAGCUUUAGAAAGUUAUUUUUCAGUAUCUUUGGCUGUUUUUGCUUAAUUUUGUCUCAUCUCUCAGAAGCACCAGUUUCCCACAUGUUGACUUUCUAGUCUCUUGCUUCCAUUUCUGUUACUUUGGUCCUCCUUGUUUUCAUUCUUUCUUAUCCUUUUAGUUUGCUUAUUGGGAGAGCUUCUUCAGUUUGUCUGUCAUACCUCCAAUUUCAUUUUCCACAUUGUCAGUUCAGCAUCUGUUCUCUACACUUGUGAAUUUUAAUGAUUGCAUUUUUAGUUUCCUUACAAUUAUUCUUUGAUUAACCUUCGUAGAGUGGGCAUUAGAGACAACCCUGAAUUCAGACCACUACUCUGACAGUUAGAGCUGCUUGAACUUGGGCAAGUUAUUUUACUUCUUGAACUCUCAACUGCCUAUUUUAUAAUAGAGAUGUAAUAACACUUACCUUUUCUACCAGUUUUUAGGAGUAGAGAGAUAAUGUAUAUCCUGUGCUUGGCAUACCGUAGGUGCUCAAUAAACAAUAGCUAUUAUUAAGACUUUGUUCCACUAUCUUUUUAUCUGUUCCUGUUGCCUUUUUAUUUCAGCCUAUUAUUUCCUUAAAAAUUUCUGCUACCAUCUCUAAAGGUAAUAUCUUCUUGUAUAGUGUUUAAGGUAACAAAACAUUACUAAAAUUUUCUCCCAUAUCCUGAAUUAUGUCAUUUAUGGAGAAAGAAUCUUCUCUGGGUCAUACAGAAACAGUUUUCUUUCUUUUCUCAGUGGUAUUUUUUCAUAGGAUCCAUGUGGGUUUGUGUACCCUUUACUUAUGCCUUGAACAAGGUAAAAUGUGUUCUGACUUGAUGUUCUGAAGCAGACAGUAUGAGCCGUGCCUUAGCUUGGUUGCUGUUCACUGCCUGAGCCAGUGCAGGAGGAGUGGCUGAUCGCCAUGCACGGCUCUCAGCCCAUGUCUGAGCUGCAGCAGCUCUCCACUGGUGCCUCGUGCUCUAGUGAAGCAGUGUCACCUUUGUCCCACAGUUCCUGGUCCUCUCUAACACUGAAUUGAUGUAUACAUAGAUGAAAAGAAAAACCAUGGCUCCUAGAAGCCACUACUCUUGAGAUCCUGCCUGUCACCUUUCUACCUGACGCUUGAGGGGAUUUUACCUUUCAAUUGCCACUCACCACUGCUGGUCUCUCCCCAUUGCCCCCUUCCUCUAGCCACAAUUUUUGAAGGUGUUUUUCUAAAAAUUCCUUUCUAUGUGGAAAGAUGACAAAUGUAGAAAAUGAAGAAAAUAAUAUUCUGGCAGCUCUGCACAUCAGCAUCUUUGAUGUAAUGAGUUCAUCAACUUUCUGACUGGUAUAGGCUUUUUAGAAAAACAGCUUUAUUGAGAUAUAAUUCACAUACUAUACGACUCACCCGUUUAAAGUGUAUAAUUCAAUCGUUUUUGAUGUUGGUAUAGGCUUUUAAAAGGUACAUUCCUACUCCUUUUCAGGUAUUAUCUCUUUUUCUAGGUAAAGCUGGGGUAGAUUUUUUUUUUAGAUUUGCUCCAUCUGCCUUAUAGUAAAUGCAGAUUCUGAUUAAAGCAUCUGUUGUGUAAGAAUUCAUGAGUCCCAGCUGCUAAUAGAUAGAUUAAUUAAUAAAUAGAGGAGAUGGAAGGUCUCUUGCUUGCCAUGGAAGGCUGACUGGUAAAUAUGGAAGAGAAUGCUGGAGUUGGAAAGUCAUCAUUUUUCAACUUUUAUGGUAAAGGUAGGCUCAGGCAAGAAUCACCAAUAGAAGCAAACUCUUGGGAAAAUUUUGAUGAGGAGCAGUAUGCUUGUGUGAUCUAAAAAGUGUCUCUUCACAGAUUGCUUAUUAGUUAGAAAGAGAAAAAUAAACCCCAGUUUAUUUUAGUGGAGAAAAAUGUAGAAAUCAGGGAGCAACUAGACCAGUGGCCAAAAUUAAUGGCACCAAUGAGGGAGAGACAGACAUUGUGUGCCUCCAAUGUGAUAUCCCAAGAAGGACAUCACAUCAUCUAUGCAGUGUUCUAGCUGAGUAUUCUCAUUCUGAGAGUCAUGAACGUAUUAUCACUCUAAUCACAAGGAGAUGUCAGAUAAACACAAAAAUGAGGAGAAUUCUAUUUAAGGGGGUGGGCACUGUGUUCUUCAAAAAUGCCCAUGUCACAGAGCACAAAGAAAGGGUAUAGAAAUGUCCAGAUAUAGGGAGGCUAAAGAGAUAUGACAACUAAAUGCAAUACCAGACCAUAGAUUGGAUUCUGUACUGAAAGGGACAAAAUGCUAUAAAGGACAUUAUUAGAUUAAUUUACAAACCUAGACUAUAGGUGAUAGAUUAUAUAAAAGUAUUAUGCUAAUAUAAAUUUAUGAAAUUAGCAACUCUUCUGUGGUAACGUAAAAGAAUAUUCCUAUUCUUAGGAAAUACAUACUGUAGGGAUAAAGGGCCAUGAUGUACGUUACCCUCAUGGUUCAGCAAAAAGUUGCCCAGAGACAGAGAGAGAGAGAGAGAGAGAAGACAAAUGAUAGAGGAAAUGGCAUAAAAUGUUAGUAGUUAAUAAUCUGGAUACAGGGGUACCUUGUGCUAUUUUUAUUUUUGCUACUUCUUGUAAGUUUAAAAUGAUUUCCAAAUAAAAGUUUUGUAUAUUAUUUUUAAGAAAUUUCCUUAUAAGCUUGUGGUAUUUAGAAGUAACCACUUUGGAGUAAGGCCUUAUUCUGGAAAGUGGUUGUUGAAAUGCUGGUGUUCUUUCACUUGCUCAUAUUCAGUGUCAUUUGGCAUGACUGAACUUGGAGCAGGAGCAAGGACCAGGAUUCUACAGGAUAUAGAACAGCUUUGUUUUUUCCUCCAUAUUAAUCAAAUCCAAUGUUACUGAAGACAAUAUGGCAUAGAAAACUAUCUCUGAUUUUUUCCCAGAGGCAAUGUAAAGUGGAAGAAGCAGUGGACUCAAAAGGUUCCUGCCAACUGCCUAGAUGACCUUAGACAAGUCAGUUCACAUUCUCUUGGUCUCAAUUUUCUUAUCUGCUAGAUGCUCAGUGAGGUUCACUAUGAGCUUAAAGUCAAUGUCUGUCUAGCCAUCAUAGUCACCCAAUGCAGAGCACAGCUCACCUGGCAGGGGCUGGAGAAUGGGGAAAAAAGAAUAGAAUGAAAGUCUUUGAAGAGAAUUGAAUGGUUACCUCUACCCAUCCUUCCAAGUCAAGGAGUAAUCCCACCUCUUCCAGAAGCUCAGGUUCCAGAGAACAGGGCAGGAAAGAGUAAGAUGGGACAUCAGGAAAGUGAAGGAUGCCUGACCAAUACUCAGGAUAGGGCAGGCCAGAGGUAGAACCAAAGUGGAAGCCAAGGCCCUGUGCAUGGAGCCAAAAAUGAGCAAUAGAGAAAGGAGUGAAGAGUUGUAACUGGGAUACCAACAAAGACACUUCAAAAUAAGAUCAACAGACUUGGUUAGAAAUGUCUCAGGGCAACUAGCAUAAUCACAGCAUGUGGAAAUGAAAGUCAUUUAAACAUCUGUUGAGAGCCUAUCAUGUGCUUGGGAGUUACUGGAAAUAAAAAAUGAAUCGCACAUAGCACUGCCUCCUAGGAGUUUAAAAUGUGGAGGGACAGGUAUGCACACCACUAACUAGGCUAUACUUUAAUUUGCAGAUAGCACUAAAACAGGAGUUUAAAUCAAGUGCUAUGGGCACUUAAAUCUGGUUCAAUUAAUUUGGUAGGAAGGACAAGGAAAGGCUUUAUAGUGAAAGUGAUAUUUAAACUGGGCCUUGAGAGAUGAGUAGGAUCAUCAGGUGGAGGAUUAGGGAAGAAUAGAGAGAAGAGCAUGUGAAGAGGGGUAAAGGAAUAAGGCGACAUGAUGUGCCUGGUAUCCAGUGAGAAGCUGAGUGUCACUGGAGCAUGAAGAGCACUGUAGACGUGGUAGGAAGUGAAGCCAGAAGAUAGGCUGCCCCUGGAUUGAGAGGGGCUUUGACACUCAUGCUAAGGAAUUUGGGCCACAAUCCAGUAAGAGGCUGGAUGUUGUCAUUAACACCAGGCACUCAAGCAGGUUUCUACACAGCCAGGCCCAGCCUCUGUUAGAAGUCUAGAGUGGGGGCCAGCCCCAUGGCUGAGUGGUUAAGUUUUGCCUUGCUCCGCUUUGGUGGCCCAGGGUUUCAUGAAUUUGGAUCCUGGGUGCGGACCUGGCACCACUCAUCAAGCCAUGCUGAGAUGAUGUCCCACAUAGCAGAGCCAGAAGGACCUACAACUAGAAUAUAUAACUAUGUACUGGGGGGCUUUGAGGAGAAAGAAAAAAAGACGAUUGGGAACAGAUGUUAGCUCAGGUGCCAAUCUUAAAAAAAGAAAGUCUAAAGUGGAGGAGAGGAUGAGGUGGGCAGAAUCGGGAAGGAAAGAGAGAAGUUAAAGCAAUCUUGCAAUUCCAACCUAGACUGAGUGGAAAGGGAUUUUAGUGAUUGAGAUAUAGACUACAGAAGGUUUGAAGGAAGAGAGAUGAUAAAUUUAAUUUUGGUAAAAUUGGGAACAUCCAUGAGAAGCUCAUCAUUAGGCUAUUGAUAAUGUGGUUCUGGAAUUUGGGAGAGAGCCAGGGUUGGAUUUAACUGCUUGGGAGAAAGCAGUGGGAAUAGAUGAGGUGCCUAGGGAGAGAAUGGUGAAUGGAAGGAGAAGAAAGUGAAGAUGUCUUAGGGGAAAACUACCUGAUGAGAAGUCAGUGAAGAUGCCAGGAAAGAUGAGAAAAGUAGGGUGAAAACAAGACAGGAUUGUAUCGUGAAACUGACAGGAAGUUAAGAUUUUACAAAAGAGUUGGGAAUUUUUAAAAGGCUCAGAGGAGGUCAAGAUUGACGAGAAAUAAAAAGAGGUAAUUGGAAUUGGAACUUAAGUGAACAUGAAAUGAGACAGUGGAGUCAGUGAGUAUAAGAAGAAUGAGAUCAUAGGAGAAUAGAGAAACAAGUUGAUAGCUUUAGGUGAAACUAGAGUCUAAGGAAUGUUUGAUGACUUUUUAUUCAGAUAUAAUUUCAAACUUGCAGAAAAGUUGCAAAAAUAGUACCAAUAGCUCCCAUAUAACCAGAUUCACCAUUCACCAUUUGUUAACAUUUUGCCUCAAUUGCUUUAUCAUCCUCUGUCUUACUUUUUUUGAAUGAUUUGAGUUGCAGACAUCGUGCCUCUUUUACCUCUAGAUAUUUCGGUGUAUAUUUCCUAAGAACAAGGACAUUAUUUUCCAUUCCAACAGUACAGUUAUCAGAUUAAGAAAUUUCACAUGGAUAUAAUACUAUUACCUAAUAUUCAUUCCAUAUUCAAAUUUCAGUAAUUGUCCCCAAAAUGUCCUUUAUAGCUAUUUUUCCCCAUUCUGGAUCCAAACCGUGAUUGUGAAUGUAUUUCAUUUAGUGUCAUGUCUCUGGUCUCCUUGAAUCUGGAACAGUUUCUAAGCCUUUCUUUGUCUGUCAUGACAUUGACAUUUUUUGAGGAGUACAGACUGGUUAUUUCAUAGAAUGUUCCUCAAUGUGGGUUUGUUGAUGCUUCCUCAAAAUUCGAUCAAGUUUACUAAUUUUUACAGGAAUAUCCCAGAAGAGAUGUUGUGUCCUUCUAAGGGCAUCAUAUCAGGAGGCGUAUGAUGUUAUUUUGUCCCCUUACUGGAGAUAUGAACUUAGAUCACUUGGUAAGGUGGUAUCUGCGAUGUUUCAUAAGUAGCUAUUUUCCUUCUAUAAUUAGUCGUUUGUGGAGAGAGACUGAGACUGUGUAAAUACCAUGCUCCUCAUUAGAUAAUCACCUAUGAAACCUACUAAAACAAUCGUUUUAUUAUCUAUUGAUGAUUUUUGCCUGGAUCAAUUACCAUGAUGGUUACAAAAUGUGAUGAUUGUUUUCUAAAAAAUUUGUUCCUUCUGUGUAUAUUGG
Molecule: long non-coding RNA, 6275 nt
Organism: Equus caballus (horse)
Lineage: Eukaryota; Metazoa; Chordata; Mammalia; Perissodactyla; Equidae
Source: Ensembl